CAAUAGCGUAUAUUAACGUUGUUGCAGUUAAAAAGCUCGUAGUUGGGUUUCUGGAGGGAGCGUCGGCCCGUAUUUACGAGUGCGUGACGUCUCUGUCCAUCCUUGCGGGAAGGCACGGCAUUGAUUUGUUGUGUCGGAUCGCAUCAUUUACUGUGAAAAAAUUAGAGUGUUCAAAGCAGGCUUUCGCUUGAAUACAUUAGCAUGGAAUAAUAAGAUAGGACUUUGGUGCUAUUUUGUUGGUUGAGCCUAAAGUAAUGAUUAAUAGGGAUAGUUGGGGGCACCUGUAUUGCGUUGUCAGAGGUGAAAUUCUUGGAUUUACGCAAGACAAACAGCUGCGAAAGCGUCUGCCAAGGAUGUUUUCAUUA
This 365-nucleotide ribosomal RNA is filed under the name uncultured eukaryote. RNAcentral describes it as "partial 18S ribosomal RNA". It matches the Rfam family "Eukaryotic small subunit ribosomal RNA", at positions 592 to 975 of the family's 1831-position model. The record is from RNAcentral.